CACCGCCGCGGCCCGGGUUCGAUUCCCG
This 28-nucleotide non-coding RNA is filed under the name Gallus gallus (chicken). RNAcentral also lists the same sequence under 2 other names. The record is from RNAcentral. Lineage: Eukaryota; Metazoa; Chordata; Aves; Galliformes; Phasianidae.